This 506-nucleotide ribosomal RNA is filed under the name uncultured bacterium. Its description in RNAcentral is "partial 16S ribosomal RNA". It matches the Rfam family "Bacterial small subunit ribosomal RNA", at positions 29 to 523 of the family's 1533-position model. The record is from RNAcentral.
AGUGAACGCUGGCGGUAGGCCUAACACAUGCAAGUCGAACGGCAGCACAGAGGAGCUUGCUCCUUGGGUGGCGAGUGGCGGACGGGUGAGGAACACAUCGGAAUCUACUCUGUCGUGGGGGAUAACGUAGGGAAACUUACGCUAAUACCGCAUACGACCUACGGGUGAAAGCAGGGGACCUUCGGGCCUUGCGCGAUUGAAUGAGCCGAUGUCGGAUUAGCUAGUUGGCGGGGUAAAGGCCCACCAAGGCGACGAUCCGUAGCUGGUCUGAGAGGAUGAGCAGCCCAACGGGAACGGAGACAAGGUCAAGACACCUAAGGGCGGCAGCAGUGGGGACUAUUGGUCAAUGGGCGCAAGCCUGAUCCAGCCAUACCGCGUGGGUGAAGAAGGCCUUCGGGUUGUAAAGCCCUUUUGUUGGGAAAGAAAUCCAGCUGGUUAAUACCCGGUUGGGAUGACGGUACCCAAAGAAUAAGCACCGGCUAACUUCGUGCCAGCAGCCGCGGUAA